AUGGCGAAAAACAACAAUAAGAGCAAGAGAGCGCACAAGAAGCGGUCCAGACCGACAAAACGAAAGGUUUAUCAUCAGCUGACUAAGCCAUUGACGGCCAUGCCAUUGCGAAAAGAAAGACGAACUAUCGACUUAUCCUACGUAUUGUUCUUCACCAAGCCCGCGCAUUUUGGACCAAGUUUGUUUAAUUUUAUGGAUAGAAGAAAUUUAGUGAACGCAAAAAUGAGUCAGUUGGACAUCUAUGAGUUUUUAAAACUUAUGAUUGCCGAGCGAAAGAACGAUUCUUGCUUUUUUCAGUGAGUGAGCCAUCAGACCUGUACAACCUAGAAAUGUCGAUGACCGGAAGGCAAUCCGUAAUCCACGGCUACUUUGAUGAAAUUUCCAAACACUGGAUCACUUAUCUGAUGGCUUGGAUUGAAGUUCUAAAAAUGGUUGAUGACAGAACCGCUGCCGAAAAGGUAAAAAGCAUUUUGGAAAAGUUAAUCUCAAAGAAAAAGACACCGUUGGAUGUAAAAGUCUCUUCCUUUACAGCGCCAACAUUUCUCAACAGAGGCAAUAGACCGCCAAGGCCAGGAGACAUGUCAAAAACAGAGUACUUUGCAUCAACAAUGAUUACCUUAAAUUUAUAUAGAUGCAUGACGAAAUUUCUUGGUCCAGUGCUACGAGAUCGUCAACUGGAAAGAGAAGGCCAGGUCCGGACUGAUUCCGAGAUUGACACGCAGAAUUUAUUAUUUGACUUGUUGGACGAAUGGCGUGUAAACAACGGAAAUCGUCCCGAUUUUCAAGCUGAUAUUGCCAAGAUUGAAACAGCCCGACAAGGUCGAAAUAAAAUUUGCCAUGGUGAUCUCGCAAUGAUAGUACAGCAUUGGAAGCGGUACUUUCAUUCAUGGAUAGAUGUGUGUACUAUGUUGGGAGAAGAUACUUCUGCCCACAAGGUUGAAAAGGUUUAUAACAGAUUGCUUUCUUAUAGAGAACAUGCGAUUCGCUGA
Daphnia magna is the source of this 989-nucleotide RNA transcript. RefSeq lists it as uncharacterized. The transcript has a single exon. Lineage: Eukaryota; Metazoa; Arthropoda; Branchiopoda; Diplostraca; Daphniidae. The record is from RefSeq and is a predicted model, not a curated record.